This 497-nucleotide ribosomal RNA is filed under the name uncultured bacterium. Its description in RNAcentral is "partial 16S ribosomal RNA". It matches the Rfam family "Bacterial small subunit ribosomal RNA", at positions 28 to 507 of the family's 1533-position model. The record is from RNAcentral.
GAUGGACGCUGGCGGCGUGCCUAAUACAUGCAAGUCGAGCGAACAGACGAGGAGCUCGCUCCUCUGACGUUAGCGGCGGACGGGUGAGUAACACGUGGAUAACCUACCUAUAAGACUGGGAUAACUUCGGGAAACCGGAGCUAAUACCGGAUAAUAUAUUGAACCGCAUGGUUCAAUAGUGAAAGACGGUUUUGCUGUCACUUAUAGAUGGAUCCGCGCCGCAUUAGCUAGUUGGUAAGGUAACGGCUUACCAAGGCAACGAUGCGUAGCCGACCUGAGAGGGUGAUCGGCCACACCGGAACUGAGACACGGUCCAGACUCCUACGGGAGGCAGCAGUAGGGAAUCUUCCGCAAAGGGCGAAAGCUUGACGGAGCAACGCCGCGUGAGUGAUGAAGGUCUUCGGAUCGUAAAACUCUGUUAUUAGGGAAGAACAAAUGUGUAAGUAACUAUGCACGUCUUGACGGUACCUAAUCAGAAAGCCACGGCUAACUACGUG